Molecule: ribosomal RNA, 1344 nt
Filed under: Candidatus Phytoplasma pyri
Lineage: Bacteria; Bacillati; Mycoplasmatota; Mollicutes; Acholeplasmatales; Acholeplasmataceae
Description: bacterial SSU rRNA
Rfam family: Bacterial small subunit ribosomal RNA
Source: RNAcentral
GCUAAGACUGGAUAGGAAGUUUUAAGGCAUCUUGAAACUUUUAAAAGACCCGCAAGGGUAUGCUGAGAGAUGGGCUUGCGGCACAUUAGUUAGUUGGUAAGGUAACGGCUUACCAAGACCAUGAUGUGUAGCUGGACUGAGAGGUUGAACGGCCACAUUGGGACUGAGAUACGGCCCAAACUCCUACGGGAGGCAGCAGUAAGGAAUUUUCGGCAAUGGAGGAAACUCUGACCGAGCAACGCCGCGUGAACGAUGAAGUAUUUAGGUAUGUAAAGUUCUUUUAUUAAAGAAGAAAAAAUGAUGGAAAAAUCAUUCUGACGGUAUUUAAUGAAUAAGCCCCGGCUAACUAUGUGCCAGCAGCUGCGGUAAUACAUGGGGGGCAAGCGUUAUCCGGAUUUAUUGGGCGUAAAGGGUGCGUAGGCGGUUUAAUAAGUCUAUGGUCUAAGUUCAACGCUUAACGUUGUGAUGCUAUAGAAACUGUUUGACUAGAGUUGGAUAGAGGCAAGCGGAAUUCCAUGUGUAGCGGUAAAAUGCGUAAAGAUAUGGAGGAACACCAGUAGCGAAGGCGGCUUGCUGGGUCUUAACUGACGCUGAGGCACGAAAGCGUGGGGAGCAAACAGGAUUAGAUACCCUGGUAGUCCACGCCGUAAACGAUGAGUACUAAGUGUUGGGUUAAACCAGUGCUGAAGUUAACGCAUUAAGUACUCCGCCUGAGUAGUACGUACGCAAGUAUGAAACUUAAAGGAAUUGACGGGACUCCGCACAAGCGGUGGAUCAUGUUGUUUAAUUCGAAGAUACACGAAAAACCUUACCAGGUCUUGACAUACUCUGCAAAGCUAUAGAAAUAUAGUGGAGGUUAUCAGGGAUACAGGUGGUGCAUGGUUGUCGUCAGCUCGUGUCGUGAGAUGUUGGGUUAAGUCCCGCAACGAGCGCAACCCUUAUCGCUAGUUACCAUCAUUUAGUUGGGCACUUUAGUGAGACUGCCAAUGAUAAAUUGGAGGAAGGUGGGGAUUACGUCAAAUCAUCAUGCCCCUUAUGACCUGGGCUACAAACGUGAUACAAUGGCUGUUACAAAGAGUAGCUGAAGCGUGAGUUUUUAGCAAAUCUCAAAAAAACAGUCUCAGUUCGGAUUGAAGUCUGCAACUCGACUUCAUGAAGUCGGAAUCGCUAGUAAUCGCGAAUCAGCAUGUCGUGGUGAAUACGUUCUCGGGGUUUGUACACACCGCCCGUCAAACCAUGAAAGUUGACAAUACCCGAAACCAGUAGCCUAACUUGCAAAAGAGGGAACUGUCUAAGGUAGGGUUGAUGAUUGGGGUUAAGUCGUAACAAGGUAUCCCUACCGGA